Molecule: non-coding RNA, 143 nt
Organism: Caenorhabditis elegans
Lineage: Eukaryota; Metazoa; Nematoda; Chromadorea; Rhabditida; Rhabditidae
Source: Ensembl
CUUUCUCUCCUCUCACAGAACAGAUCCAUCAGUCAAUGUGACCUCAGACCGAGAGGAAAGAAGCAUGGGAAGCAGCAAAGAGGCGGAAGGAUGCGAAAAUGAGUGGGAGGAUUGUUGGAGAUCCCCCGCCAAACCACCCCUAC